GAUGAACGCUGGCGGCGUGCCUAAUACAUGCAAGUCGAGCGAACAGACGAGGAGCUUGCUCCUCUGACGUUAGCGGCGGACGGGUGAGUAACACGUGGAUAACCUACCUAUAAGACUGGGAUAACUUCGGGAAACCGGAGCUAAUACCGGAUAAUAUAUUGAACCGCAUGGUUCAAUAGUGAAAGACGGUUUUGCUGUCACUUAUAGAUGGAUCCGCGCCGCAUUAGGUAGUUGGUAAGGUAACGGCUUACCAAGGCAACGAUGCGUAGCCGACCUGAGAGGGUGAUAGGCCACCCUGGAACUGAGACACGGUCAAGACUCCUACGGGAGGCAGCAGUAGGGAAUCUUCCGCAAUGGGCGAAAGCCUGACGGAGCAACGCCGCGUGAGUGAUGAAGGUCUUCGGAUCGUAAAACUCUGUUAUUAGGGAAGAACAAAUGUGUAAGUAACUAUGCACGUCUUGACGGUACCUAAUCAGAAAGCAACGGCUAACUACGUG
RNAcentral lists this ribosomal RNA (497 nucleotides) under uncultured bacterium. RNAcentral describes it as "partial 16S ribosomal RNA". It matches the Rfam family "Bacterial small subunit ribosomal RNA", at positions 28 to 507 of the family's 1533-position model. The record is from RNAcentral.